This 2905-nucleotide ribosomal RNA is filed under the name Escherichia coli 'BL21-Gold(DE3)pLysS AG'. RNAcentral's name for it is "bacterial LSU rRNA". It matches the Rfam family "Bacterial large subunit ribosomal RNA". The record is from RNAcentral. Lineage: Bacteria; Pseudomonadati; Pseudomonadota; Gammaproteobacteria; Enterobacterales; Enterobacteriaceae.
UUAAGCGACUAAGCGUACACGGUGGAUGCCCUGGCAGUCAGAGGCGAUGAAGGACGUGCUAAUCUGCGAUAAGCGUCGGUAAGGUGAUAUGAACCGUUAUAACCGGCGAUUUCCGAAUGGGGAAACCCAGUGUGUUUCGACACACUAUCAUUAACUGAAUCCAUAGGUUAAUGAGGCGAACCGGGGGAACUGAAACAUCUAAGUACCCCGAGGAAAAGAAAUCAACCGAGAUUCCCCCAGUAGCGGCGAGCGAACGGGGAGCAGCCCAGAGCCUGAAUCAGUGUGUGUGUUAGUGGAAGCGUCUGGAAAGGCGCGCGAUACAGGGUGACAGCCCCGUACACAAAAAUGCACAUGCUGUGAGCUCGAUGAGUAGGGCGGGACACGUGGUAUCCUGUCUGAAUAUGGGGGGACCAUCCUCCAAGGCUAAAUACUCCUGACUGACCGAUAGUGAACCAGUACCGUGAGGGAAAGGCGAAAAGAACCCCGGCGAGGGGAGUGAAAAAGAACCUGAAACCGUGUACGUACAAGCAGUGGGAGCACAGAGCAAUCUGUGUGACUGCGUACCUUUUGUAUAAUGGGUCAGCGACUUAUAUUCUGUAGCAAGGUUAACCGAAUAGGGGAGCCGAAGGGAAACCGAGUCUUAACUGGGCGUUAAGUUGCAGGGUAUAGACCCGAAACCCGGUGAUCUAGCCAUGGGCAGGUUGAAGGUUGGGUAACACUAACUGGAGGACCGAACCGACUAAUGUUGAAAAAUUAGCGGAUGACUUGUGGCUGGGGGUGAAAGGCCAAUCAAACCGGGAGAUAGCUGGUUCUCCCCGAAAGCUAUUUAGGUAGCGCCUCGUGAAUUCAUCUCCGGGGGUAGAGCACUGUUUCGGCAAGGGGGUCAUCCCGACUUACCAACCCGAUGCAAACUGCGAAUACCGGAGAAUGUUAUCACGGGAGACACACGGCGGGUGCUAACGUCCGUCGUGAAGAGGGAAACAACCCAGACCGCCAGCUAAGGUCCCAAAGUCAUGGUUAAGUGGGAAACGAUGUGGGAAGGCCCAGACAGCCAGGAUGUUGGCUUAGAAGCAGCCAUCAUUUAAAGAAAGCGUAAUAGCUCACUGGUCGAGUCGGCCUGCGCGGAAGAUGUAACGGGGCUAAACCAUGCACCGAAGCUGCGGCAGCGACGCUUAUGCGUUGUUGGGUAGGGGAGCGUUCUGUAAGCCUGUGAAGGUGUGCUGUGAGGCAUGCUGGAGGUAUCAGAAGUGCGAAUGCUGACAUAAGUAACGAUAAAGCGGGUGAAAAGCCCGCUCGCCGGAAGACCAAGGGUUCCUGUCCAACGUUAAUCGGGGCAGGGUGAGUCGACCCCUAAGGCGAGGCCGAAAGGCGUAGUCGAUGGGAAACAGGUUAAUAUUCCUGUACUUGGUGUUACUGCGAAGGGGGGACGGAGAAGGCUAUGUUGGCCGGGCGACGGUUGUCCCGGUUUAAGCGUGUAGGCUGGUUUUCCAGGCAAAUCCGGAAAAUCAAGGCUGAGGCGUGAUGACGAGGCACUACGGUGCUGAAGCAACAAAUGCCCUGCUUCCAGGAAAAGCCUCUAAGCAUCAGGUAACAUCAAAUCGUACCCCAAACCGACACAGGUGGUCAGGUAGAGAAUACCAAGGCGCUUGAGAGAACUCGGGUGAAGGAACUAGGCAAAAUGGUGCCGUAACUUCGGGAGAAGGCACGCUGAUAUGUAGGUGAGGUCCCUCGCGGAUGGAGCUGAAAUCAGUCGAAGAUACCAGCUGGCUGCAACUGUUUAUUAAAAACACAGCACUGUGCAAACACGAAAGUGGACGUAUACGGUGUGACGCCUGCCCGGUGCCGGAAGGUUAAUUGAUGGGGUUAGCGGUAACGCGAAGCUCUUGAUCGAAGCCCCGGAAACGGCGGCCGUAACUAUAACGGUCCUAAGGUAGCGAAAUUCCUUGUCGGGUAAGUUCCGACCUGCACGAAUGGCGUAAUGAUGGCCAGGCUGUCUCCACCCGAGACUCAGUGAAAUUGAACUCGCUGUGAAGAUGCAGUGUACCCGCGGCAAGACGGAAAGACCCCGUGAACCUUUACUAUAGCUUGACACUGAACAUUGAGCCUUGAUGUGUAGGAUAGGUGGGAGGCUUUGAAGUGUGGACGCCAGUCUGCAUGGAGCCGGCCUUGAAAUACCACCCUUUAAUGUUUGAUGUUCUAACGUUGGCCCCUGAUCGGGGUUGCGGACAGUGUCUGGUGGGUAGUUUGACUGGGGCGGUCUCCUCCUAAAGAGUAACGGAGGAGCACGAAGGUUGGCUAAUCCUGGUCGGACAUCAGGAGGUUAGUGCAAUGGCAUAAGCCAGCUUGACUGCGAGCGUGACGGCGCGAGCAGGUGCGAAAGCAGGUCAUAGUGAUCCGGUGGUUCUGAAUGGAAGGGCCAUCGCUCAACGGAUAAAAGGUACUCCGGGGAUAACAGGCUGAUACCGCCCAAGAGUUCAUAUCGACGGCGGUGUUUGGCACCUCGAUGUCGGCUCAUCACAUCCUGGGGCUGAAGUAGGUCCCAAGGGUAUGGCUGUUCGCCAUUUAAAGUGGUACGCGAGCUGGGUUUAGAACGUCGUGAGACAGUUCGGUCCCUAUCUGCCGUGGGCGCUGGAGAACUGAGGGGGGCUGCUCCUAGUACGAGAGGACCGGAGUGGACGCAUCACUGGUGUUCGGGUUGUCAUGCCAAUGGCACUGCCCGGUAGCUAAAUGCGGAAGAGAUAAGUGCUGAAAGCAUCUAAGCACGAAACUUGCCCCGAGAUGAGUUCUCCCUGACUCCUUGAGAGUCCUGAAGGAACGUUGAAGACGACGACGUUGAUAGGCCGGGUGUGUAAGCGCAGCGAUGCGUUGAGCUAACCGGUACUAAUGAACCGUGAGGCUUAACCUU